ACGGGUGAGUAACGCGUGAGCAACCUGCCUUUCAGAGGGGGAGUAACGUUCUGAAAAGAACGCUAAUACCGCAUAACAUCAAUUUAUCGCAUGAUAGGUUGAUCAAAGGAGCAAUCCGCUGGAAGAUGGACUCGCGUCCGAUUAGCCAGUUGGCGGGGUAACGGCCCACCAAAGCGACGAUCGGUAGCCGGACUGAGAGGUUGAACGGCCACAUUGGGACUGAGACACGGCCCAGACUCCUACGGGAGGCAGCAUG
This 256-nucleotide ribosomal RNA is filed under the name uncultured bacterium. RNAcentral's name for it is "partial 16S ribosomal RNA". It matches the Rfam family "Bacterial small subunit ribosomal RNA", at positions 102 to 353 of the family's 1533-position model. The record is from RNAcentral.